This 393-nucleotide long non-coding RNA is filed under the name Capsicum annuum. RNAcentral's name for it is "long non-coding RNA (CANN_LNC000330)". Lineage: Eukaryota; Viridiplantae; Streptophyta; Magnoliopsida; Solanales; Solanaceae. The record is from RNAcentral.
GCUGGGGAGGGUAAAAUGUACGCAGUCCAUACCACUACAUCUGAAGAGGUAGAGAGGUUGCUUUCGAUAGACCCCUGACUCAAGAAAAGGACCGAGACCGUGUUCAAAUAUCGCAAGUAUAUAACAUGAUAAAAUAACAACGAUACAACAACCUCAAAUAAGUACAUGAACCAACAAAAGACAUCCCCUUCCCCCAACCCUAGCCCUACCAACCAAGCUACACGAAACUCUCCUAACUCCAGCCUAUGACUUAACCACAUCCCUUAGCCCUCUACCCUAAUACUCUUCCUCCAAACCUUCCUAUCAAGGGUCAUGUCCUCAGUGAGCCGUAAUUGCUCCAUGUCAUGUCUAAUUACUUCCGUCCAGUAUUUCUUUGGUCUUACCCUACCCCGC